GUUCCCUUUCAGACAGCACAUAUACGAAAAUUGAAACGAUGUAUAGAACAUUGGCAUGGUACCUGAGUAAAAAUGACAUGCAAAUCUGUGAAGCGUUCCAAAGAUUU
Small nuclear RNA from Tachyglossus aculeatus (Australian echidna), 107 nucleotides. The record is from RefSeq and is a predicted model, not a curated record. Lineage: Eukaryota; Metazoa; Chordata; Mammalia; Monotremata; Tachyglossidae.